AAUGAACGUUGGCGGCGUGGAUUAGGCAUGCAAGUCGAACGAGAAGACUUAAAAAGAUACUUCGGUUGAUUUUUAAGUUGGACAGUGGCGAAAGGGAGAGUAACGAGUAGAUUACGUACCCAAGGGUCCGGGAUAGCUGCGGGAAACUGCAGGUAAUACCGGAUAAUGUUUCCGAACCAAAAAUUUAUUGCCCUUGGAUCGGUCUGCUUACUAUUAGCUUGUUGGUGGGGUAAUGGCCUACCAAGGCGAAGAUGGUUAGCGGGUGUGAGAGCAUGGCCCGUCUCACUGGGACUGAGAUACUGCCCAGACACCUACGGGUGGCUGCAGUCGAGAAUCUUCCGCAAUGGACGAAAGUCUGACGGAGCGACGCCGCGUGCUGGAUGAAGGCCCUCGGGUUGUAAACAGCUGUCGUAGGGGAGGAAAUUUUGACCGAUCCUAGGAGGAAGCGCAGGCUAAGUUCG
Molecule: ribosomal RNA, 461 nt
Filed under: uncultured Planctomycetaceae bacterium
Lineage: Bacteria; Pseudomonadati; Planctomycetota; Planctomycetia; Planctomycetales; Planctomycetaceae
Description: bacterial SSU rRNA
Rfam family: Bacterial small subunit ribosomal RNA
Source: RNAcentral